AUGGCUGCUGAACAGGAUGAAGAGGAGCACUGGAGGAGGACCAUGGCAGCGGUGAGACCCAACCCGUCGCGGCGCCUAGUGAGCAGGCGCACGGGCACACCAGUAAAGCACAUCACAGCGGCGGCCGUGUCCUCCAUCUCGAUGCUUCAGCCGGGCGUCACCAUGCAGUCACACAACGACCUGCACUCCAUGAUAACCUCUCGAUUCCGCCGCCCCCGAAUCUCACGGCGUCGAGGUGGCCAUGGGAGGGCUCGCCGGAGUGGUUUAGGAGAGGAUCAGGGGGUUGUGGAGAUCAGGGUGGAGGUGGUUUGGAGAGGUUCGGGGGUGAGGGCGGGUCUGGAUAGGAUGGAGACCGUGAAAGAAAACCAAAAACAUAGGUGA
RNAcentral lists this ribosomal RNA (381 nucleotides) under Triticum aestivum (bread wheat). RNAcentral describes it as "partial small subunit ribosomal RNA". Lineage: Eukaryota; Viridiplantae; Streptophyta; Magnoliopsida; Poales; Poaceae. The record is from RNAcentral.